Molecule: long non-coding RNA, 2066 nt
Filed under: Sorghum bicolor (sorghum)
Lineage: Eukaryota; Viridiplantae; Streptophyta; Magnoliopsida; Poales; Poaceae
Description: long non-coding RNA (SBIC_LNC012677)
Source: RNAcentral
GUUGUAAAAAAUUAGUGAAGGCAAAGCAACAAUAUAUGUAGAAUAGGGAAUUAUAUGUGGAAUCUCACAAUCUCACCUCUCUUACCAACCGAAGCUCAUGUGAGUUCCCCGCAGAUUACCACGGCCAAUGCGAGGUGGUAACCGAGAAUGAUGGUUGGGAGAAUCCAAGAUCAGUAUUUUCCUAUGACGGUGGGUUAUUUGUGGAGCUUGGUGGGGAUAUAUUUCACAAGGAAUGCAAUCUGAAUUCUUGAUAUUGUAAAGUUAAACCACAAUCCAAACUAGAAGUUCAAUGCCUAGUGCUGACCACAAGAUAUGAGUGAUGUAAAUAGAUCAAACACACGCGCAAAGAUAAUUCAGAUUUGAUGCAAACAAGGAGUAUGCCUAGGAUGCAAGUGUUGCAAUCAAACCCAAGCAAAAUUUUGCACCAAAGAUGGAUAAUGACUGAUUGUGUGUCUUGAUAUAAAAUUCAGAACUUGAGCACAUAAACAGAGUGAACUUUCUACUCUUUCUUCACAACUUUUCUUCCUCAACUUUCCUCUUUUUUUUUCACUUUCCUUUUUUUGAUACUUUUUUUUAUAACUAAGAACAAGAGCAGAUAUAACACUUACACACACUUUUUUUUUUGAAACAAGACACAACCGUCAGCGUUCUAACUUGAUAGGCUCAAAGUUUACGCGAAGGAUGAUACCGGUUUCAGAUUUUCUUUAGGGAUUUCUAGAUAUAAAAGAGGCACAAAGGACACACAAAGGAUAUGAUGAUCAGCAACUAAACAAAACUCUAAUGGACUGAAACUUAACCAAAAUCACAAGAAAAACAGAUUGAAACAAAGGGCUAAUGCAAUUUUUUUAUGGCUUUUUGGUGGAUAGGACGAACAAGAUAUAUAUAUGUAGCUAAGGGUAAAAUUCCUACCGUGGAAACUUGAGCUCUGAUACCAGAUGAUGAGGUCGUUGUCCCGAUCUUCACGACGUAGGAUAACUAGCUGAAGAUCAGCCGAUAACUUGCUGCAAGCAGCGAGGAUAACUAGUGCAACCUGACGACACGCACAAGGAGCCAACCACCGUCUCUAUACGGCAGCCUGAACCAAGGAUUCGCCCAACCACACUCUCAAAGAACCAACCUACGCAACCUGAACUCGAGGAUCAGGAGCACGGAUUGGGUGCCGAUGACGCGGCCGCUUCUGUAAUCUCCACGAAGGAAAACACGAGAGCAAAGGGGUAGAGAUCUCUCUCUAAAUUUGUUAGCACAUAGCUGAACAAAGUGGUUUGUAUUCUCAAUAUCAUAAGUCUUGGAUUACAAUGAGUCUUAGGGGGUAUUUAUACUAGCAACAGCCCUGCUAGAUAGGUAUGAAAACGAAAUAGAGUUUCUGAGGGAAGGCAAUGUGAAAGGUCCCCUCGAAAUGGAUUCCCGAAGUGGCUUCGCGUGACUGUUGGCCUCCAGAGCAGUUUCCAAUAAACUGACCAUAACUUUUUAUUGGGAAGUCCAAAUGAUGAACCGUUUCUUGGGUGUGAAACUAGACUCCAAGAGCUUUCCAGCAACAUAUGCCAUGCACCAUGAAACGCUGUAGAUUGGUACAGUUUUACUUGGCAAGUUGUACCAACAUUCUAUCACGACAGACUGUUGACCUUCUGAGCAGUCUAUACUAAUUCUGGUCUGCAGGCAAUAUGGAGUAUCCAAACUGGUCUCCACUAGAUUCAUUGGAAAGUAGACUCGAAGAGCUUUCAAACAAGUGCUCAUGCGCCUUCAUAGCAUCUCGAAAGUGAAAGUUAUGAUCUUUUCUUUCAACUGGUCCGUUCUACACCGUACUGGUCCGAUCUGCCCUUCUUUCAACUGGUCCGUUCUGCACCGUGUUGUUCCAAUCCUUGCGAUCCAGGUCACCUCCCUCCUCAUGUGUAUACCUAACCACAACCAAAGUAGAACACUUAGGUAGUAUAAUAUUCUCAUUAACAUUAAUAGAACUCUCACAAAGUAGCGCAUUCACCUCUUGUUGUAGCUUCUUGGCUCGGCUACGUGUAAUUGCUCCAUCAAUGGCUUGGGCUGGUGCCGGCGUAGUCGGUGUAGAGGUUGGC